GAUCAACGCUGGCGGCGUGCCUAAUGCAUGCAAGUCGCACGGGCUAUCUUCGGAUAGUCAGUGGCGAACGGCUGAGGAACACGUACGAACCUGCCCUGCGCUGGGGAAUAACUCCACGAAAGUGGUGCUAAUACCGCGUACGCUUGUGCAAACAAGGAGAGCCGCGAGGCGGCGCAGGAGGGGCGUGCGGCCCAUCAGGUAGUUGGCGGGGUAAUGGCCCACCAAGCCGGUGACGGGUAGCUGGUCUGUGAGGACGAUCAGCCAGACUGGGACUGCGACACGGCCCAGACACCUACGGGUGGCAGCAGCAAGGAAUCUUCCACAAUGGGCGCAAGCCCGAUGGAGCAACGCCGCGUGCAGGAUGACGGCUUUCGGGUUGUAAACUGCUUUGAGGGGGGAUGAUACAGACAGUACCCCCAAAACCAGCCCCGGCUAACUCUGUGCCAGCAGCCGCGGUAAGACAGAGGGGGCAAGCGUUGUCCGGAAUGACUGGGCGUACAGCGCGCGCAGGCGGGUAUGGACGUGCUGUGUGACAGCGCGGGGCUCAACCCCGCGUCGCCACAGUAGACGCCAUUGCCUGGAGUGGGUGAGAGGGAUGUGGAAUGCCCGGUGGAGCGGUGAAAUGCGUAGAGAUCGGGCGGAACACCAGUGGCGCAAGCGGCAUCCUGGCACCAAACUGACGCUGAGGCGCGAGAGCGUGGGGAGCAAACGGGAUUAGAUACCCCGGUAGUCCACGCCGUAAACGAUGUGGAGCCGGCGCUGGUGGGUGAUUGUACCCGUCGGUGCCUGAGCUUACGCGAUGACUCCACCGCCUGGGGACUACGGCCGCAAGGCUAAAACUCAAAGGAAUUGACGGGGGCCCGCACAAGCAGCGGAGCGUGUGGUUUAAUUCGACGCAACACGAAGAACCUUACCUAGGCUUGACAUAGGACUGCAAGCAGGUGAAAGCCUGCUGCCUUCGAGGGUGUCCUACUGGUGCUGCAUGGCUGUCGUCAGCUCGUGUCGUGAGAUGUUGGGUUAAGUCCCGCAACGAGCGCAACCCUUGCCCCAUGUUACUUGUGUCAUGGGGGACUGCCGUGGUGUAGACCACGGAGGAAGGCGGGGAUGACGUCAAGUCCGCAUGGCCCGUACGUCUAGGGCUACACACACGCUACAAUGGGUCGCGUAAUACGCUGCGACCGGGCAACCGGAAGCAAAUCGGGAAGCCGACCCUUAGUGCAGAUGGAGGGCUGCAACUCGCCCUCUUGAAGACGGAGUUGCUAGUAACCGCGUGUCAGCAAAGCGCGGUGAAUACGUACCCGGGCCU
Molecule: ribosomal RNA, 1306 nt
Filed under: uncultured bacterium
Lineage: Bacteria
Description: bacterial SSU rRNA
Rfam family: Bacterial small subunit ribosomal RNA
Source: RNAcentral